AUUGAACGCUGGCGGCAGGCCUAACACAUGCAAGUCGAGCGGAUGAAGGGAGCUUGCUCCUGGAUUCAGCGGCGGACGGGUGAGUAAUGCCUAGGAAUCUGCCUGGUAGUGGGGGAUAACGUCCGGAAACGGGCGCUAAUACCGCAUACGUCCUGAGGGAGAAAGUGGGGGAUCUUCGGACCUCACGCUAUCAGAUGAGCCUAGGUCGGAUUAGCUAGUUGGUGGGGUAAAGGCCUACCAAGGCGACGAUCCGUAACUGGUCUGAGAGGAUGAUCAGUCACACUGGAACUGAGACACGGUCCAGACUCCUACGGGAGGCAGCAGUGGGGAAUAUUGGACAAUGGGCGAAAGACUGAUCCAGCCAUGCCGCGUGUGUGAAGAAGGUCUUAGGAUUGUAAAGCACUUUAAGUUGGGAGGAAGGGCAGUAAGUUAAUACCUUGCUGUUUUGACGUUACCAACAGAAUAAGCACAGGCUAAAUUCGUG
RNAcentral lists this ribosomal RNA (484 nucleotides) under uncultured bacterium. RNAcentral describes it as "partial 16S ribosomal RNA". It matches the Rfam family "Bacterial small subunit ribosomal RNA", at positions 30 to 507 of the family's 1533-position model. The record is from RNAcentral.